AGGUUUCUUGUACUAAGUUACUGAUUAUCAUGACACUGUCAUAACAUGAGGUACCAGGACAGACAGGAGAUGUGAGAAGUAGCAGUUUUAAAAUAUCGCAGGAAAUGUUAAUUUCAAUAGUAUUUUAUCUUUUGGUAAGUUUUGAAUAGUCUCAUAUAUAAAAUAAUUAGAAUUUUGAAUAAAAUUGAGAAAGGAAAUGGGGAAUGUGUCAAAGCGACAACAACCCGACCAUAGAGCAGACAACAGCCGAAGGCCACCAAUGGGUACAGUACAUUGUAGUUGCAAAGGGAGAUAAGAUCAAUAUGUAAUAGCUUCAAAGAUAUGAAAAAAUAUAUGUUAUAUUUUACUAGAUUUUUGCACAUGAUCUCCUGAUAUGUUCUGAAUUUGAUCAUAGGUAUUUUUUUUUUAUUGUUCAUGUAUCAUUAUGAAUUGUUUUUUUCUUAUUUUUGUAUGAACUAUUCUGAUCAUUCAUAAAGUCAAAUAGACAAUACCAAACUUUGAUUUAAAAUGAUAUGCAAUGCAGUACAUAUACUAUAAAUCUAUUAAUUAAUGAUUUUUUUUUCUAGAAUGGACAUAUAUGGAACUGUAACACAGAGAAGCUGACUUGAAAGAAAUAUACUUAGUAUUUUGUGUGCUGAUAGAGAAUGACAGUCACAGACUUUUAUAAAUGUUGUAAUUCAAACA
This 684-nucleotide long non-coding RNA is filed under the name Mytilus galloprovincialis (Mediterranean mussel). Lineage: Eukaryota; Metazoa; Mollusca; Bivalvia; Mytilida; Mytilidae. The record is from RNAcentral.